AAUGAAUGAUGACAAAAAUGUUUCGGGCCCAAAUGAUGUGUAGUGAUUAUACCGUUGCAUUUUUUCUGACAUU
Phascolarctos cinereus (koala) is the source of this 73-nucleotide small nucleolar RNA. Its record names the gene SNORD73. It matches the Rfam family "Small nucleolar RNA SNORD73". Rfam says of the family: U73 is a member of the C/D class of snoRNA which contain the C (UGAUGA) and D (CUGA) box motifs. U73 is encoded within the introns of ribosomal protein S3a and contains a 12nt region of complementarity to a conserved sequence in 28S ribosomal RNA. Lineage: Eukaryota; Metazoa; Chordata; Mammalia; Diprotodontia; Phascolarctidae. The record is from Ensembl.